UCCAAUAGCGUAUAUUAAAGCUGUUGCAGUUAAAAAGCUCGCUAGUUGAAUUUCGGGAUCAGUACGCUGGUCGUGCCUUCGGUAUGAACUGGUGUCACUGAUUCCUCCCUUCUGAAGAACCGUCAUGCCAUUCAGUUGGUGUGGCGGGAAAUCAGGACUGUUACUUUGAAAAAAUUAGAGUGUUUAAAGCAGGCUCGCGCUUGAAUACAUUAGCAUGGAAUAAUGAAAUAGGACGUUUGACCCUAUUUUGUUGGUUUCUAGGAUCGACGUAAUGAUUAAUAGGGAUAGUUGGGGGCAUUAGUAUUCAAUUGUCAGAGGUGAAAUUCUUGGAUUUAUUGAAGACUAACUACUGCGAAAGCAUUUGCCAAGGAUGGUUUCAUUAAUCAAGAACGAAAGUUAGGGGAUCGAAGACGAUCAGAUACCGUCGUAGUCUUAACCAUAAACUAUGCCGACUAGGGAUCGGGUGAUGUUAAAUUUUUAAUGACUCAUUCGGCGCCUUACGGG
Molecule: ribosomal RNA, 504 nt
Filed under: uncultured glomeraceous AM fungus
Lineage: Eukaryota; Fungi; Glomeromycota; Glomeromycetes; Glomerales; Glomeraceae
Description: SSU rRNA
Rfam family: Eukaryotic small subunit ribosomal RNA
Source: RNAcentral